AUACGUAGGGAACAAGCGUUGUCCGGAUUUACUGGGCGUAAAGGGUGCGUAGGUGGUUUCUUAAGUCAGAUGUGAAAGGUACCGGCUCAACCGGUGACAUGCAUUUGAAACUGAAAGACUUGAGUAUUGGAGAGGCAAGUGGAAUUCCUAGUGUAGCGGUGAAAUGCGUAGAUAUUAGGAGGAACACCGGUGGCGAAGGCGGCUUGCUGGACAAAUACUGACGCUGAGGUGCGAAAGCGUGGGGAGC
RNAcentral lists this ribosomal RNA (247 nucleotides) under uncultured bacterium. RNAcentral describes it as "partial 16S ribosomal RNA". It matches the Rfam family "Bacterial small subunit ribosomal RNA", at positions 523 to 769 of the family's 1533-position model. The record is from RNAcentral.